This 373-nucleotide ribosomal RNA is filed under the name uncultured organism. RNAcentral's name for it is "partial 16S ribosomal RNA". It matches the Rfam family "Bacterial small subunit ribosomal RNA", at positions 527 to 896 of the family's 1533-position model. The record is from RNAcentral.
GUAGGGUGCAAGCGUUAAUCGGAAUUACUGGGGCGUAAAGCGUGCGCAGGCGGUUGUGCAAGACAGAUGUGAAAUCCCCCGGGGCUCAACCUGGGGAAUUGCAUUUGUGACUGCACGGCUAGAGUGUGUCAGAGGGGGGUAGAAUUCCACGUGUAGCAGUGAAAUGCGUAGAGAUGUGGAGGAAUACCGAUGGCGAAGGCAGCCCCCUGGGAUAACACUGACGCUCAUGCACGAAAGCGUGGGGAGCAAACAGGAUUAGAUACCCUGGUAGUCCACGCCCUAAACGAUGUCAACUAGUUGUCGGGUCUUAAUUGACUUGGUAACGCAGCUAACGCGUGAAGUUGACCGCCUGGGGAGUACGGUCGCAAGAUUA